Long non-coding RNA from Engraulis encrasicolus (European anchovy), 2993 nucleotides. RefSeq lists it as uncharacterized. The transcript has 5 exons. Lineage: Eukaryota; Metazoa; Chordata; Actinopteri; Clupeiformes; Engraulidae. The record is from RefSeq and is a predicted model, not a curated record.
AAAACAAAUCGGACGUCCCACUCAGACUCCCAAAGUUGUGCAUAGGCCACGUCGUUUACAAGUGGACAACUGCAACACUGUACCCACGGUGCACUUGUGGUGCGUAACGUAGGCGCACACAUUGGUGCAAACUUCGGUGAGGCCAGUGAUUGCUCCACAACUUAUUUAAACGUCAAAAGAGCUUUAAACAAGUGGGUCAACUUAAACUACCACGAUGUCGAGAGGCGAGACACUGAGAGGAACAGCAGGUUGACUGACGAAGGUGUCUGUCUUUUUCUGGGCACUACUGAACGGUGAACUGCUAGGGUGACAGAAGGGAAACUCAGGUAAGAGAUGAUUAGCAAGCCAAGUUAGCGGUUGGGGAGGGAAAAGUAGCAAUACUCUGACAACACAAGUUAUAAACCUCCGGGGAUAAAUCGACUUUGAAUGUGAACAUUGUAGUAACGACAGAAGCGUUUAAAAUGAUUUGGUGGUCGCCCACACACUGAGUUGACAUGAGUGGUACCCCGCUAGCCGAGCGAUGUUAGCAUUUUAGCACAGGCAUACUACAGGCAUUGCUGGUAUUUGCAGCACUAUGCUGAAUUACAUCUUCCGAAAAGACACAUGCAUUGUAAAAUAGACACGCUGACUGGGAGUUCUGCUUUAUGUGGAUAGCCUACCCGCUUCGGACUGAAGGCAAUGCAAAUAGUUCAGGAACAGGUUACUACUUGGCGCGUACUGAGUGAAGUCACUGACGGGAAACAUUGCGCAAGCGUACAAAUCAAGGGGGCGUGAUUGUGACCCAAAGUCAAAUGUUGAAGAAGACCGCUACAGGGUGAAGUUUGGUCAUCGUAAGACAGACCCUGCAACACACCAGAGGCGCACCAUGCUGAAGCACAUUGUGGUUCUUCUGGCUCUUGUGUAUUUAUCAGAAGCUGAAGACACAAUAAAAGAAAUACUAUUCCUCCUAAGAGAAGUGCGAGAACAGCAACAUCUUCUCACAUUUGUUUUAGAGAACUCCUACUAUCCUGGUGUAAGAAUCCACUGGAAUAUGAUCCAGUGCAAAAUGGUUGUUGGGUAUGAGCUAUUAAAGGCAUUGGACCAUGUUACAAUAACAUCUUCUCCCAAUACACACAGUCUUUGGGACACGGUGAGAAAAUUGCAAAUCAACGUUGAAGGUUUGCUGGAAGGGGAGCGCUCAAAAAGCACAAUAACUGUGGAAGAUAGCUGUACCAAAGACAAAAUCAUGUUUAUCAAGACAUACAGCAUGUCAAACUCAGUAUUCAUAGAACAUUACAUAGGAUUCUUCCAAGAUUGGCUGGCAAAUACAUCAUGAACUUGACUUCAUCUUCACAUCUAAAAUUAUGAACCGAUGACUGGAUGUAUUUCAACGUGAAGUAUGGGAUAAGUGUGUUUCCAACAAUUCAUGUUGCAUUGUAUUUAUUGUAUGUAAAUAUGUAUUUACAGCUUUAUUGAACUGUAUUUUUUUGGAAGCUUUUCAACACUUUUAUAUUCUAACUGUGAUGAAAUGUCAAUGUUAUUCUUUUUUUCUUUUUUUAAAAAAGCGGAAUUAUGUAGAGUAAGUCAGUUUUACAGUAUGCAAUAUAUUGUGUUGAAUGUAUUUUCAUUUGUAAUUAUUUAUUUAUAGUAAAUUGAGUACCAAAGAAGAGCUUGUUAUGAUAUACAAAGAGCUGAAUAUUCUGUCUCGAUGCAUGCUGUGCCUUAUAAGAGUAGGGCAAGGGGACGGGGGAGUCUGAGGAUGGGGGGGUGCUGGCUCCACUUCCUGCGUCGGAGAACCUGGGGAGGCACAUCCCUCCCCCCCGUCCCCUAUGCCCUGAUGGGAAUUCUUUACUUACUGGUCUUCUGACUGGAUGUCAGGCAUAUGUUGCAAGCAGCCUGUAAAGGAUGGUGCAGGUCGCAUGUACGGACUGUCACAUAGGUGCAAGGCAUUUCUUGCCUCCUUCCCUCUGUCAUCCAUCCUUGUUGCACACUUGCUAUAGUUUUAUAUUGGACAGUCGUUUAUUAUUCAAACUGGACAUGUGAUCUAGGAAAGGAAAUUCGCCGUAUAUGACACAUGAGGACAUGUGUAUGUCCAUGUCUAUGGCUAUGUCUCAAAUCAUGCACUUGUGCACUUCGGCACUGUUUUUCAGUGCCUAAGGCGCUCACGUUGAAAAUUUCAGUUGAGCCAGUGCACUGAAAGUGCCAGGAUGAUCUCCUAACAAUGGUGGGAAAAUGCAGUGCUUGAAUGAUGGGCUGAAUCUCAAAUGGUGCACUUGUGCACUUCAGUGUCCAUGUUUCAGUGUGUAUGCCGUAUUAGUUACGCACUGAAACAUAGUGCCUGAAGUGCACAAGUGCGCCAUUUGAGAUCCAGCCAUGGACACUGCAUGCACUAAACGGCGGCCAUGUUGACAAUGACAUGGAGGAAAUGUGGCAUUCAGUUCAGUAGGCCUAGAAGAGUUUGGUCAACAGUCUCCUAAUUCUGUAAGUAAUGUUGAUGGUGCACCAACCUUUUCAUGCCAACCAAAGUAUUGUAUGUGUGAUUGUUGUCCUUUUGGGUGAAAGAAAUGGAAAAACAAGCACCAGACACUGUGCAUUGUAAACAGUAGCCAACUGAUAUUUUGGCGAGCUAAUGCCAUGCUCAGCCGUCACUUCCAGCGAGGGCACAGUGCGUAGUGCUCAAGUUUUUCCACGACCCUAUGCACUAAAGACCUCAGUGCACUGUGUGCACUGUGCACUGACUGUCAGUGCACUGACACAAGUGUGUGAUUUGAGACAUAGCCUAUGUCUUGUAUAGUUGGUUUGACAACAAGUGUUAUUUUUCAGAUAACACAUUUGUAUUUGAAAUCUUAAAAGAAUUUAAAUACAAAACUUGAGUCGACAACAAGGACAGAGGCAAAACGACUUGCACCUACACUGUACAAUGCAGGUUUUCAAAUAUUGUGAUAUGGAGAAAUUCCAGCAGGGGGCAGCAUUGUCCUAACUCAUCCACCGUAUCUCAAAGGUGGAUCAUCAUA